UAGGGAAUCUUCCGCAAUGGACGAAAGUCUGACGGAGCAACGCCGCGUGAGUGAUGAAGGUUUUCGGAUCGUAAAACUCUGUUGUUAGGGAAGAACAAGUACAAGAGUAACUGCUUGUACCUUGACGGUACCUAACCAGAAAGCCACGGCUAACUACGUGCCAGCAGCCGCGGUAAUACGUAGGUGGCAAGCGUUGUCCGGAAUUAUUGGGCAUAAAGCGCGCGCAGGCGGUCCUUUAAGUCUGAUGUGAAAGCCCACGGCUCAACCGUGGAGGGUCAUUGGAAACUGGGGGACUUGAGUGCAGAAGAGAAGAGUGGAAUUCCACGUGUAGCGGUGAAAUGCGUAGAGAUGUGGAGGAACACCAGUGGCGAAGGCGACUCUUUGGUCUGUAACUGACGCUGAGGCGCGAAAGCGUGGGGAGCAAACAGGAUUAGAUACCCUGGUAGUCCACGCCGUAAACGAUGAGUGCUAAGUGUUAGAGGGUUUCCGCCCUUUAGUGCUGCAGCAAACGCAUUAAGCACUCCGCCUGGGGAGUACGGCCGCAAGGCUG
This 550-nucleotide ribosomal RNA is filed under the name uncultured bacterium. Its description in RNAcentral is "bacterial SSU rRNA". It matches the Rfam family "Bacterial small subunit ribosomal RNA", at positions 355 to 896 of the family's 1533-position model. The record is from RNAcentral.